GACGAACGCUGGCGGCGUGCUUAACACAUGCAAGUCGAACGGAAAGGCCCUGCUUUUGUGGGGUGCUCGAGUGGCGAACGGGUGAGUAACACGUGAGUAACCUGCCCUUGACUUUGGGAUAACUUCAGGAAACUGGGGCUAAUCCCGGAUAGGAGCUCCUGCUGCAUGGUGGGGGUUGGAAGGUUUCGGCGGUUGGGGAUGGACUCGCGGCUUAUCAGCUUGUUGGUGGGGUAGUGGCUUACCAAGGCUUUGACGGGUAGCCGGCCUGAGAGGGUGACCGGCCACAUUGGGACUGAGAUACGGCCCAGACUCCUACGGGAGGCAGCAGUGGGGAAUAUUGCACAAUGGGCGGAAGCCUGAUGCAGCAACGCCGCGUGCGGGAUGACGGCCUUCGGGUUGUAAACCGCUUUCGCCUGUGACGAAGCGUGAGUGACGGUAAUGGGUAAAGAAGCACCGGCUAACUACGUG
RNAcentral lists this ribosomal RNA (468 nucleotides) under uncultured bacterium. RNAcentral's name for it is "partial 16S ribosomal RNA". It matches the Rfam family "Bacterial small subunit ribosomal RNA", at positions 28 to 507 of the family's 1533-position model. The record is from RNAcentral.